AGAGUUUGAUCCUGGCUCAGGACGAACGCUGGCGGCGUGCUUAAUACAUGCAAGUCGAGCGAGGCCUUGGAAUUGGAGUCCUUCGGGAUGAAGAGUCCUUGGCCUAGCGGCGGACGGGUGAGUAACGCGUGGGCAACCUACCCCAAAGUCCGGGAUAACAGUGGGAAACCGCUGCUAAUACCGGAUGACUUUACCUGAGGGCAUCCUUGGGUAAAGAAAGGUUACGCUUUGGGAUGGGCCCGCGUCCCAUUAGCUAGUUGGUGAGGUAACGGCUCACCAAGGCGACGAUGGGUAGCCGGCCUGAGAGGGUGAACGGCCACACUGGGACUGAGACACGGCCCAGACUCCUACGGGAGGCAGCAGUAGGGAAUAUUGCGCAAUGGGCGGAAGCCUGACGCAGCGACGCCGCGUGAGCGAAGAAGGCCUUCGGGUCGUAAAGCUCUGUCCUUGGGGAAGAAGGCGAAAGCUUGACGGUACCCAAGAAGAAAGCCCCGGCUAACUACGUGCCAGCAGCCGCGGUAAUACGUAGGGGGCGAGCGUUGUCCGGAAUUACUGGGCGUAAAGGGUGCGUAGGCGGCCUUUUAAGUCAGAUGUGAAAGGCUGCGGCUUAACCGCAGGACUGCAUUUGAAACUGGAAGGCUUGAGUGUCGGAGAGGGUAGUGGAAUUCCCAGUGUAGCGGUGAAAUGCGUAGAUAUUGGGAGGAACACCAGUGGCGAAGGCGACUACCUGGACGAUAACUGACGCUGAGGCACGAAAGCUAGGGGAGCAAACAGGAUUAGAUACCCUGGUAGUCCUAGCCGUAAACGAUGGGUACUAGGUGUAGGUGGUUUCGAUACCAUCUGUGCCGCAGUUAACGCAAUAAGUACCCCGCCUGGGGAGUACGGUCGCAAGACUGAAACUCAAUGAAUUGACGG
RNAcentral lists this ribosomal RNA (915 nucleotides) under uncultured bacterium. Its description in RNAcentral is "bacterial SSU rRNA". It matches the Rfam family "Bacterial small subunit ribosomal RNA", at positions 8 to 916 of the family's 1533-position model. The record is from RNAcentral.